Mycena crocata is the source of this 93-nucleotide non-coding RNA. The record is from the annotation of a GenBank genome assembly. NCBI's taxonomy places the organism in Eukaryota, Fungi, Basidiomycota, Agaricomycetes, Agaricales, Mycenaceae.
GACUGCUUGGUCUAGUGGCAAGACAUCCUUGAAAUCUGCCCUCCAGGAAGAUAGGUUACGGGGAGCUUGUGGGUUCGAUUCCCGCAGCAGUCA